RNAcentral lists this ribosomal RNA (1034 nucleotides) under Triozocera sp. 3 DPM-2011. RNAcentral's name for it is "partial 16S large subunit ribosomal RNA". Lineage: Eukaryota; Metazoa; Arthropoda; Insecta; Strepsiptera; Corioxenidae. The record is from RNAcentral.
AUUAUAAAAAUAUUUUUAUGAUUAGUUUUUAAAAAUUAUUUUUAUUUAUAGUGGAUUAGUAUUGAAAAAUAAUUUUAAUUUUAUUUUUUAAGAAAUUUUUAUUAAUUGUAUCUUGUGUAUCAGAGUUUAUUAAAUUAAAUUUAUUUAAAUAUAAAAAUUUCGAAAUUUUUUGAUUUAUAAAUAUUUAAAAAUUAAUGUUUCAUAAUUAUUAAAAAAAUAUUUAUUGAAAUUAAAAGUUAUUCGAAAAAAAUGAUAUCUAAUUAUUUUAAAAAUUAAUUUAAUUAAUUUAUAAAAAUUAUUAAAUUUAUAUUAAAGUUUAUAUUUAAUUUUUUAUAAAAAAAUUUUUAAGGAUAAGCUUAAAUAUUGAGUUAUAAAUGUAAAUAAAGAUUUAAAAUUGUAAGAUUAAUAUUUUUAUCAUUAAUAAAUUAUUAUAAAUAUUUUAAUGAUUAUAGAAAUUUAUUUUGUUUUAAUUUUGAAAUAAAAUUAUUUUUAUUAAUAAUAUUAAAAAGAAAUAAUGAUAAAAUUAGUAUAUAUUAUAGUUAGUAAAUUUAAAUUAAUAAAAAAUUAUUAAAAGAACUAGACAAAAUUUUAUCCAUCUGUUUAUUAAAAACAUAUUUAAUUGAAUUGAAUAAUUAAUGUAUUCUGCCCAUUGAUAAAUUUAAAGGCUGCAGUAUUUUGACUGUACAAAGGUAGCAUAAUCCUUUGUUUUUUUAUUGGAAACUUGUAUGAAGGAAUUAAUGAGAUAUCAAUUUUUUUUUUUAAUUUAUUAGAAUUUUUUGUUUAAGUGAAAAAACUUAAAUUAUAUUAAAAGACGAAAAGACCCUAUAAAACUUAAUUUUUAUAAUUUAAAAAAAAUUUUUAAAAAUUUAAUUGGGGAAAUUUAUAAAAUUAUAAAAUUUUAUUAGUUAAUAAAUUAAAAUUAUAAAUAUUAUUAAAGAUCUUAAAUUUUAGGAUAGAAGAUAAGUUACUUUAGGGAUAACAGCUUAAUUUUUUUAAAAAGUUCUUAUAUAAAAAAAAGUUUAUGACCUCGAUGU